AGCGAAUGCUGGCGGCAGGCCUAACACAUGCAAGUCGAACGAACCUUUCGGGGUUAGUGGCGGACGGGUGAGUAACACGUGGGAACGUGCCUUUAGGUUCGGAAUAACUCAGGGAAACUUGUGCUAAUACCGAAUGUGCCCUUCGGGGGAAAGAUUUAUCGCCUUUAGAGCGGCCCGCGUCUGAUUAGCUAGUUGGUUGAGGUAAUGGCUCACCAAGGCGACGAUCAGUAGCUGGUCUGAGAGGAUGAUCAGCCACAUUGGGACUGAGACACGGCCCAAACUCCUACGGGAAGCAGCAGUGGGGAAUCUUGCGCAAUGGGCGAAAGCCUGACGCAGCCAUGCCGCGUGAAUGAUGAAGGUCUUAGGAUUGUAAAAUUCUUUCACCGGGGACGAUAAUGACGGUACCCGGAGAAGAAGCCCCGGCUAACUUCGUG
This 434-nucleotide ribosomal RNA is filed under the name uncultured bacterium. RNAcentral describes it as "partial 16S ribosomal RNA". It matches the Rfam family "Bacterial small subunit ribosomal RNA", at positions 29 to 507 of the family's 1533-position model. The record is from RNAcentral.